This 253-nucleotide ribosomal RNA is filed under the name uncultured bacterium. Its description in RNAcentral is "partial 16S ribosomal RNA". It matches the Rfam family "Bacterial small subunit ribosomal RNA", at positions 524 to 776 of the family's 1533-position model. The record is from RNAcentral.
UACGUAGGGUGCAAGCGUUGUCCGGAAUUACUGGGCGUAAAGAGCGUGUAGGCGGCCAGAUAAGUCCGCUGUGAAAUCUCGAGGCUCAACUUCGAGCUGUCGGUGGAAACUGUCUGGCUAGAGUCCGGAAGAGGAGAAUGGAAUUCCUGGUGUAGCGGUGAAAUGCGCAGAUAUCAGGAAGAACACCCGUGGCGAAGGCGGUUCUCUGGGACGGUACUGACGCUGAGACGCGAAAGCGUGGGGAGCAAACAGG